This 368-nucleotide ribosomal RNA is filed under the name Pantoea sp. Bo_11. RNAcentral's name for it is "partial 23S ribosomal RNA". It matches the Rfam family "Bacterial large subunit ribosomal RNA", at positions 2581 to 2925 of the family's 2925-position model. The record is from RNAcentral. RNAcentral also lists the same sequence under 8 other names. Lineage: Bacteria; Pseudomonadati; Pseudomonadota; Gammaproteobacteria; Enterobacterales; Erwiniaceae.
UCGCCGUUUAAAGUGGUACGCGAGCUGGGUUUAGAACGUCGUGAGACAGUUCGGUCCCUAUCUGCCGUGGGCGCUGGAGAAUUGAGGGGGGUUGCUCCUAGUACGAGAGGACCGGAGUGAACGCACCACUGGUGUUCGGGUUGUCAUGCCAAUGGCACUGCCCGGUAGCUAAGUGCGGAAAAGAUAAGUGCUGAAAGCAUCUAAGCACGAAACUUGCCCCGAGAUGAGUUCUCCCUGACCCCUUGAGGGUCCUGAAGGGACGUUGAAGACGACGACGUUGAUAGGCCGGGUGUGUAAGCGCAGCGAUGCGUUGAGCUAACCGGUACUAAUGACCCGUGAGGCUUAACCUUACAACGCCAGAGGCGUUU